AGCAGAGCAGAAAGCUAAGCGAAAAGUGCCUUUUGACGGGGAGUUGUCGAAAGGACGAAAGCACCGGGUAGCGACUUUUUACUAUGGUGUGCGAUUUGGUUUUCUAUCCCGCUGCU
Molecule: non-coding RNA, 116 nt
Filed under: Johnsonella ignava
Lineage: Bacteria; Bacillati; Bacillota; Clostridia; Lachnospirales; Lachnospiraceae
Also listed under: 1 other name
Description: THF-I sequence
Rfam family: THF (Tetrahydrofolate) riboswitch aptamer
About the family: THF riboswitch presents a pseudoknot that joins P1-P2 and the loop of P3 and two THF binding.
Source: RNAcentral